This 468-nucleotide ribosomal RNA is filed under the name uncultured bacterium. Its description in RNAcentral is "partial 16S ribosomal RNA". It matches the Rfam family "Bacterial small subunit ribosomal RNA", at positions 28 to 507 of the family's 1533-position model. The record is from RNAcentral.
GACGAACGCUGGCGGCGUGCUUAACACAUGCAAGUCGAACGGAAAGGCCCUGCGUUUGUUGGGUGCUCGAGUGGCGAACGGGUGAGUAACACGUGAGUAAACCGCCCUUGAAUUUGUGAUAACUUCAGGAAACUGGGGCGAAUACCGGGUAGGAGCUCCUGCUGCAUGGGGGGGGUUGGAAAGUUUCGGCGGUUCGGGAUGGACUCGCGGCUUAUCAGCUUGUUUGGGGGGUAGUGGCUUACCAAGGGUUUGACGGGUAGCCGGCCUGAGAGGGUGACCGGCGUCAUGGGUCCUGAGGUAGGGAGCAGAAGGGUACGGGACGCAGCAGUGGAGAAUAUUGCGCAACGGGCGGACGCGUGAGGUAGAAACGCCGGGUGCGGGAUGCCGGCUUAUGAGUUGUAAACAGAUGUGGCAUGUGCCGAAGAGUGAGUGACGGUAAUGGGUAAAGAAGCCCCGGCUAACUACGUG